RNAcentral lists this ribosomal RNA (116 nucleotides) under Verrucomicrobiia bacterium. RNAcentral also lists the same sequence under 1 other name. Lineage: Bacteria; Pseudomonadati; Verrucomicrobiota; Verrucomicrobiia. The record is from RNAcentral.
UCUGGUGACCAUAGCAUGGUGGAACCACCCGGUCCCAUUCCGAACCCGGAAGUGAAACACUGUUGCGCCGAUGGUAGUGGGGCGACAGGCCCUGUGAGAGUAGGUCGUUGCCAGGU